This 253-nucleotide ribosomal RNA is filed under the name uncultured bacterium. RNAcentral describes it as "partial 16S ribosomal RNA". It matches the Rfam family "Bacterial small subunit ribosomal RNA", at positions 524 to 776 of the family's 1533-position model. The record is from RNAcentral.
UACGUAGGGGGCUAGCGUUGUCCGGAAUCAUUGGGCGUAAAGCGCGUGUAGGCGGUCUGGUAAGUCUGCUGUGAAAGUCUAGGGCUCAACCCUGGAAAGCCGGUGGAUACUGUCAGACUAGAGUGCGGAAGAGGCGAGUGGAAUUCCUGGUGUAGCGGUGAAAUGCGCAGAUAUCAGGAGGAACACCAAUUGCGAAGGCAGCUCGCUGGGACGUUACUGACGCUGAGACGCGAAAGCGUGGGGAGCGAACAGG